GACGAACGCUGGCGGCGUGCUUAACACAUGCAAGUCGAACGGAAAGGCCCUGCUUUUGUGGGGUGCUCGAGUGGCGAACGGGUGAGUAACACGUGAGUAACCUGCCCUUGACUUUGGGAUAACUUCAGGAAACUGGGGCUAAUACCGGAUAGGAGCUCCUGCUGCAUGGUGGGGGUUGGAAAGUUUCGGCGGUUGGGGAUGGACUCGCGGCUUAUCAGCUUGUUGGUGGGGUAGUGGCUUACCAAGGCUUUGACGGGUAGCCGGCCUGAGAGGGUGACCGGCCACAUUGGGACUGAGAUACGGCCCAGACUCCUACGGGAGGCAGCAGUGGGGAAUAUUGCACAAUGGGCGGAAGCCUGAUGCAGCAACGCCGCGUGCGGGAUGGCGGCCUUCGGGUUGUAAACCGCUUUCGACUGUGACGAAGCGUGAGUGACGGUAAUGGGUAAAGAAGCACCGGCUAACUACGUG
RNAcentral lists this ribosomal RNA (468 nucleotides) under uncultured bacterium. Its description in RNAcentral is "partial 16S ribosomal RNA". It matches the Rfam family "Bacterial small subunit ribosomal RNA", at positions 28 to 507 of the family's 1533-position model. The record is from RNAcentral.